GACGGAGUCUUUCUGGAAACAGAGAGAGUGGAACGCGGUAAACCCCUCAAGCUAGCAACCCAAAUUUUGGUCGGGGCAUGGAGUACGCGGAAACGAACGUAGUAUUCUGACUGCUAUCAGCUAGAGCUGUUAGUGGUAGACAGAUGAUUAUCGAAGGAAGUGGUCCUAGUCACUUCUGGAACAAAACAUGGCUUAUAGAA
This 200-nucleotide RNase P RNA is filed under the name Brevundimonas sp. LPMIX5. RNAcentral's name for it is "partial RNase P RNA component class B". It matches the Rfam family "Bacterial RNase P class B", at positions 181 to 365 of the family's 365-position model. Rfam says of the family: Ribonuclease P (RNase P) is a ubiquitous endoribonuclease, found in archaea, bacteria and eukarya as well as chloroplasts and mitochondria. Its best characterised activity is the generation of mature 5'-ends of tRNAs by cleaving the 5'-leader elements of precursor-tRNAs. The record is from RNAcentral. Lineage: Bacteria; Pseudomonadati; Pseudomonadota; Alphaproteobacteria; Caulobacterales; Caulobacteraceae.